This 217-nucleotide long non-coding RNA is filed under the name Setaria italica (foxtail millet). RNAcentral's name for it is "long non-coding RNA (SITA_LNC000249)". The record is from RNAcentral. Lineage: Eukaryota; Viridiplantae; Streptophyta; Magnoliopsida; Poales; Poaceae.
GCUAAGCCACCAAGUACCACAAUCUUGUCCAACAAGCCGCGAGGGAGAAGGAUCACCUCCAUAAGCGUAACAAGAUGUUGAAAAAUCCGUUGAAAGGUAACUUGUCUUCCCUAUCUGGUCUUCGAGUUGAUUGUACUUUGACAAAUACUGAAUUGCUCCUUGUGUUGUUCUUGCAGCAGUUGAGAAGAUAAAAGAAGAUCUCCAAGAUUGAGCCACC